UACGCAGGGGGCUAGCGUUGCUCGGAAUUACUGGGCGUAAAGCGCACGUAGGCGGGUUCUUAAGUCGGUGGUGAAAUCCUGGAGCUCAACUCCAGAACUGCCUUUGAUACUGAAGAUCUUGAGUCCGGGAGAGGUGAGUGGAACUGCGAGUGUAGAGGUGAAAUUCGUAGAUAUUCGCAAGAACACCAGUGGCGAAGGCGGCUCACUGGCCCGGUACUGACGCUGAGGCACGAAAGCGUGGGGAGCAAACAGG
Molecule: ribosomal RNA, 253 nt
Filed under: uncultured bacterium
Lineage: Bacteria
Description: partial 16S ribosomal RNA
Rfam family: Bacterial small subunit ribosomal RNA
Source: RNAcentral